UCCUAUGGCCUACCUACGCUGGGAGGCUGUAAAGUCUGCUGGUUUCCUAUGUAGCCGGUCUGUCAGCCCAACGUGGGAAGCCAUUCCU
RNAcentral lists this non-coding RNA (88 nucleotides) under Achromatium sp. WMS1. The record is from RNAcentral. Lineage: Bacteria; Pseudomonadati; Pseudomonadota; Gammaproteobacteria; Thiotrichales; Thiotrichaceae.